GACGAACGCUGGCGGCGUGCUUAACACAUGCAAGUCGAACGGAAAGGCCCUGCUUUUGUGGGGUGCUCGAGUGGCGAACGGGUGAGUAACACGUGAGUAACCUGCCCUUGACUUUGGGAUAACUUCAGGAAACUGGGGCUAAUACCGGAUAGGAGCUCCUGCUGCAUGGUGGGGGUUGGAAAGUUUUGGCGGUUGGGGAUGGACUCGCGGCUUAUCAGCUUGUUGGUGGGGUAGUGGCUUACCAAGGCUUUGACGGGUAGCCGGCCUGAGAGGGUGACCGGCCACAUUGGGACUGAGAUACGGCCCAGACUCCUACGGGAGGCAGCAGUGGGGAAUAUUGCACAAUGGGCGAAAGCCUGAUGCAGCAACGCCGCGUGCGGGAUGACGGCCUUCGGGUUGUAAACCGCUUUCGCCUGUGACGAAGCGUGAGUGACGGUAAUGGGUAAAGAAGCACCGGCUAACUACGUG
Molecule: ribosomal RNA, 468 nt
Filed under: uncultured bacterium
Lineage: Bacteria
Description: partial 16S ribosomal RNA
Rfam family: Bacterial small subunit ribosomal RNA
Source: RNAcentral